GUUUUUUGUUUUUGUAAAAAAUAAUACCUGCUCGGUGAAAUAAUUUUAACAGCCGCAGUAAUUUGACUGUGCUAAGGUAGCAUAAUCAUUUGUCUUUUAAUUGAGGACUUGUAUGAAUGGUUUGACGAAAAAAUAAUUGUUUCUUAUAUUAUUAUUGAAUUUUACUUUUAAGUAAAAAGGCUUAAAUUAAUUUAAGGGACGAAAAGACCCUAUUAAGUUUAAUAAAUUUAAUUUUUUAUUUUUCGUAAUAAUAAUUUUUUUUAUUUGACUGGGGUGGUAAAAAUAGAAUAUCUUUUUUUAUUUUGUUAAUUUAUAAAUUUAUUUUUUGAUCUUUUGAUUUUAAUUAUUAGAUUAAAUUGCUAUAGGGAUAACAGCAUAAUUUAUUUGGAAAGUUCAAAUUGAUAAAUAAGAUUGUGACCUCGAUGUUGGGUUAAAAUUAACUUUUUAAUGAAGUAGUUAAAAAAGUAAGUCUGUUCGACUUUUAAAUUUUUACA
Molecule: ribosomal RNA, 494 nt
Filed under: Pycnogonum diceros
Lineage: Eukaryota; Metazoa; Arthropoda; Pycnogonida; Pantopoda; Pycnogonidae
Description: partial 16S ribosomal RNA
Rfam family: Bacterial large subunit ribosomal RNA (bases 367-494)
Source: RNAcentral